Long non-coding RNA from Bombus terrestris (buff-tailed bumblebee), 2975 nucleotides. RefSeq lists it as uncharacterized. The transcript has 2 exons. Lineage: Eukaryota; Metazoa; Arthropoda; Insecta; Hymenoptera; Apidae. The record is from RefSeq and is a predicted model, not a curated record.
UAGUUCAUUAAUUAUCCUGCAAGAAGAUUAUCUUAUAUGCUUGACUAAGUAUAAUAACUCAUUUAUUAUUGGCUUUCAUUUAUUAACUACCUUCAUGUUAUCAGAGAGGUUGCGUAAUGCAACAUUCACGACGAUUAGUGCAUGCGUAUACAGUUAAGGAUUUGAAAUCAAUAAGGAUUGCACGUACUUAGGUGUUACACUAAUGGCAACCAUUUGCUGGAAGCAAGGUGCUAUUCCAGGUUAAGCAUCGAUCGGUUAAAAGGUUACGGAAGAGAAGCGAAGUACGAUGCAUUUUUCACAGAAUUUUUAAUUAAUUCCUACUUCUUCAAUUUCUACGAGAGUGUUUGAAUCAGGCGCUUUAUCCAAAGCUACCUUUACACCAAAAUCUAAUCCUUGGUCAAGAACCUAGCUGUAAUGGACGACGUCCAUCUUGUGGUCAAUCAAAGGUCACUAACGGUCAUUUUCUCAAAACCAUUGCCGCCAUCUACCUAACCACCGUGAACGCUCCUGAAGACUUCCCUUCUGCUCGUCCGACUAAUUCCGUGAACAGCGUCCAACUCAAAUCACUUUGUGCAAAAUAAUCUAUUACUCGGCUGGCUUCCCUUCGGCAAUACUUUCACACGGCACAAUCCUCCAUGAUGAAAUUGGAACUUUGAAAAAGUUUCCACAUUUGGUGCAGCAUUUCUUAUAGCCUUCUUUACGGGAGGAUCCAAUCUUCCAACGAAGCAGGAAUUUUAACAAAAAAAAAAAAAGAAAGGAAGAAGAAGGAGAAACGCAGAAAUAUGAAUAAAGAAAUUGCAAGAAUAGAAAGAAUUGAAGGAGAGUAAUAAAUAAAAAAGAUAGUAGCAGUAGUAUGCAAUUGGCUUGGCAACUAAGUGAUUGCAAAUUUUGUGGUUAGGUGGUACUGACAAAAUCCGCAAUCACUUAGUUGCCUAGCUAAUAGAUAGUGCUGGAUCGCAGAACAAAAUUUCAACAAUAAAAAGUAUGAUGAAACGAGAAAUAAAAAUGGCAGAAUAAAGAUACCAUAGAAAGAACAUUCAAGAAAAAUUCUAGCAGUUAAAGGAUUCAGUCAAUUUGUUCGUGGAAACACCUCGUCGUGUAAACUUUGCCACUUGUCGAUUUUACGAUCGCGUCAUAUCGUAAAAACUACUAUGAUAUGAUGGAAACUUUUCAAACAAUAUAUAUAUUGCGAUCAGAGUACAUAUGUAUUUGACGCUUGAAGAAAAGGUGAAUUUUGCUGAACAAAUAAUUCCGCGAGCCAUUUGAAGUUGAGCACGUGGAUAGAAAAUGAAAUUCGAGUAUUACGAAUUAACCUUCAACUUACCUAAUACAGUGAAACUUGGGGGAUAUUUCAUAUCUCAAGAAACGAAGAAAAUUUCUCCAAGUACGGCUAGCCCCUUAAUUGAGCCGUCUAGGACGAGAGAGGGUCAAGUCAAAAGAGUCGGAAAAUCGAGUUAGCUCGACGCUGCUGUUCCACUGAAAUUGAAUAGCAAGCUUUAAGUAUGAAUUUCACAAGAUGAGAUGAAAUUGAUUUACUUGCCAUUCUAGAAUGCUUGAUCAUUUUGAGUCAUAUGACCAAGAAUAGAAGGGACAAUUGAAGAUGAAGAGACAGAGCAGUAGGUUCUUAAACCUGCCAUUGAAAAACGGUGGUUCUUUUUGCUCAUUCUUUCUCUUUCCUUUCAUUUUUCAUGAUGAGCAGAAACAAGUAUAAAAAUGAGCUAUACUUUCGGACAAUGCAAUUUCGCCCCGAAGACUUUCCUCCUAUGACCAUAAAAACAACGGAGUUAUUUAGAUGCUUCCACUUUAUAUAAUAUAAUAUAAUGUCGAGGAGACGCGACUAAGUUUACCAUCUAAAACGUCCCUCCUUACGUCCUCCCCUUUUCAUUGAGCCACGAUGUACGAUGAUUUGAAAAUCUUCUAGAAACGUAAGAUUUCUUUUGCAAAGUGAUAGAAUACACAGUACAAUUGAACGGAGGAUUGUACUACGUGCGAAAAUAAAUUAAAAAUAUAUGAAAAAUUGUCAAAUACACGCUGACUCAAUAAUCAGAUAGGUUAUUCUACAUGCAAAAAUAGGUGGGUAGGUUUUCAAGAAAAUAGAAUUUUGAAAAUUUUAUAAGUACGCGUCAACUUGACUGAUUUCUUAUUAAAUGAAAGUGGAUGAUGGUAAAGUGGGUUUUUUACAUGAGAAAAUGUAGAAUAAAAUAGUUUCAUUCAAGGCCAGCAUUUUGCAAAAAGUCGGAUUUGAAAUUUCCUGGGGUACAUUAAUUAGUCAAAUCCGAUUCUCAUGAAAAUGAGACCUUAGGUGAACAAAUUUUAUCACUACAUUUUUUUACAUAUUGUUGAAUGUAAAACAACCUUUUACCAUAUCCCCAAUAAUAAUGCGAUAUUUUAUUAAUUGUUACAAUUACCUAGAAGUUUACGUAUUGUAGUUAUUUGGUGAAUUAAAAUGCAGAAUAAUAUACAUACAGAAGAAUUUUAGCAGUUUUCAAAAUUUAUUAUUCAUCAUGUUAUAUCCAUUUUUAUGUUUUCCACCAACUCGUCUACAUUUGCAUAAAUUAGUUCAAAAUUAAUGAAGUUGAAACUGUUUUAAACGUUAAUUAGAGACUCUCCUAAAUCUAAUGUUAGUCACAUGCAAUUUUUUUGACCGCGUUGAAUGUUACCUGUUAUAUUGCGUUCAUCUCCGUCUUACCAUAAAAGGGAUAAGAAAUAUAAAUCGCCAUCCUGAAUCACCCUAUCUGUUGGAAGAUUUUAUCUGAGCUGCCCGAUAGAUUGCAGCUCUUUCCCCCUAUGUGAUUGCUUGAAUACACUCGACACAGUUUUACAUCGUAAUUGAUAACUCGCCUGGAUAUUCGAUUUUUCUGUAUGUUCAGUUUCUCGAUUUCUCGUUCUAGCUACUAACCACGACCCAUCAAUUUACCAUAUGAAGACUACAAAACACGAUACACGAUAAAUCAAGUUACUUGUCUUUUUAAGGA